Long non-coding RNA from Carassius auratus (goldfish), 969 nucleotides. RefSeq lists it as uncharacterized. The record is from RefSeq and is a predicted model, not a curated record. Lineage: Eukaryota; Metazoa; Chordata; Actinopteri; Cypriniformes; Cyprinidae. The transcript has 2 exons.
GCCAGAGCUGGAAGUUUGGGGAUUCUGGGACAUAAAAAAAACAACAACUGAUCUGACACCAGGUCUAGAGCCUCAGCUGGACUCCUCUUAAAGAAUUAAAGUCAGACGCGUCUGACUGUGCGAUCCCGGUUUAGCUGACCUCUGUUAUGCUAUCUGUCCCACAUCCCACUGACGCACACAGGAGCUGGGCUAAUUUAGGGAUUUAAUGCUUGUUAUGAGGGCAGGAUGGGGUGAUGAAUAUAAAAGAAGGAAUGGACAGAAGGGGCAGAGUGUUCAUGAAUGAACGUGUGUCUCAAAGGAGCCUCAAGCUUUUUCAUCUUCAGCUGGUGAAGCCACUUCAACUUCUGUACCUAAGAAGAUCCAAGUGAACCGGAUUUUCCACUAACGGGAAUCAUGGAAUCAGUGUCUCACUCGUUCUCUCGCCCAGAAGGAUCCAUACCACGGAGAGCCCUGAAGGUCCCGGCUCGGGGGGCCUCCUCACAUUUUGUGGGAUCCACCAUCGUCAUCCUCUCCUCUUACGCUGUAGCGACUCUGGCUAUGAACUGUGGGAAAAAAAUCCAGGAUCAGAGAUUGGGCGCUUUAAAAAACUGAAGCAAGAACUUCAGGGCACUUUAGCUCUAAUGGCUCAUGAUGGAAUUGCCUUAUAACUCAGUUUAUGUGUAUGAGCUGAUGUUAACAGCCUCUGCUGGCUCUGCUGAAGAAAAAAUGACAACUAAUAGAGCUGAUAUGAUUAUGAUGUGUAAUGUUGUAAAGCCACAGGACAGCAUGCAUGGAUUCAGGUCAGCAUCUGAGGACCAUUGUUCCUGACGGUCAGCGGGAGCAGAAACACGUGUCAUUAAAUGUUGUCUCAAUGUAUUUAUUUUUGUUCUGGAUGUAACAUCUAGAGAGGUCCAUUACCAAAUAACUCUAAGUUAUUUAAAUGUCUCAUUUGUACUGUAAUUUAGAUAAUAAAAGCAUUCCAUAAUGGAA